This 342-nucleotide RNase P RNA is filed under the name Desulfovibrio sp. Its description in RNAcentral is "RNase P RNA component class A". It matches the Rfam family "Bacterial RNase P class A". From Rfam's summary of the family: Ribonuclease P (RNase P) is a ubiquitous endoribonuclease, found in archaea, bacteria and eukarya as well as chloroplasts and mitochondria. Lineage: Bacteria; Pseudomonadati; Thermodesulfobacteriota; Desulfovibrionia; Desulfovibrionales; Desulfovibrionaceae. The record is from RNAcentral.
GGAGUCGGACAGACCGCCGCCGCGGAGAACAUCCGGGGAGGAAAGUCCGGGCUCCACAGGGCAUGACGCCGGGUAACGCCCGGGAGGGGUGACCCUCGGACAGCGCCACAGAAAACAGACCGCCCGCUUCGGCGGGUAAGGGUGAAAAGGUGGGGCAAGAGCCCACCGGACGCGGCGGCAACGCCGCGUGCCUGGCAUACCCCGUCAGGAGCAAGACCAAAUAGGAAAGGCGGCCGGCCCGGCCGUGUGCCUUUCGGGUAGGUUGCUUGAGCGUGCGGGCAACCGCACGCCUAGAGGAAUGGCGGUCCUCGACAGAACCCGGCUUACAGUCCGGCUCCUGCU